GGUAUUUGGUUUUCCCUCAGGGGAGGAGACUGCGAAAUGUCUGAGCUGGAGUGACGUCUGCGCUUAUCUCGUCGUAAUUGCAUGGGGAGGGUGAGGACUGCUCCAAGGUGGUGUGUGACCACAGACCUCACUUCUCAUAAAACAAAUCAAGACCAAACUUCAGAGACUACAUCUCAAUGGAAAAAAAAAAAAAAAACAACACGAGUCAAAAAUAGAAGUCACUGACCUGUCCGCUCUGCU
Long non-coding RNA from Chlorocebus sabaeus (green monkey), 240 nucleotides. RefSeq lists it as uncharacterized. The record is from RefSeq and is a predicted model, not a curated record. NCBI's taxonomy places the organism in Eukaryota, Metazoa, Chordata, Mammalia, Primates, Cercopithecidae.